GAUGAACGCUGGCGGCGUGCCUAAUACAUGCAAGUCGAGCGAACAGAUGAGGAGCUUGCUCCUCUGACGUUAGCGGCGGACGGGUGAGUAACACGUGGAUAACCUACCUAUAAGACUGGGAUAACUUCGGGAAACCGGAGCUAAUACCGGAUAAUAUAUUGAACCGCAUGGUUCAAUAGUGAAAGACGGUUUUGCUGUCACUUAUAGAUGGAUCCGCGCCGCAUUAGCUAGUUGGUAAGGUAACGGCUUACCAAGGCAACGAUGCGUAGCCGACCUGAGAGGGUGAUCGGCCACACUGGAACUGAGACACGGUCCAGACUCCUACGGGAGGCAGCAGUAGGGAAUCUUCCGCAAUGGGCGAAAGCCUGACGGAGCAACGCCGCGUGAGUGAUGAAGGUCUUCGGAUCGUAAAACUCUGUUAUUAGGGAAGAACAAAUGUGUAAGUAACUAUGCACGUCUGGACGGUACCUAAUCAGAAAGCCACGGCUAACUAC
Molecule: ribosomal RNA, 494 nt
Filed under: uncultured bacterium
Lineage: Bacteria
Description: partial 16S ribosomal RNA
Rfam family: Bacterial small subunit ribosomal RNA
Source: RNAcentral